Molecule: ribosomal RNA, 275 nt
Filed under: uncultured prokaryote
Description: partial 16S ribosomal RNA
Rfam family: Bacterial small subunit ribosomal RNA
Source: RNAcentral
UACGUAGGGUGCGAGCGUUGUCCGGAAUUAUUGGGCGUAAAGAGCUUGUAGGCGGUUUGUCGCGUCUUCUGUGAAAAUCCGGGGCUCAACCCCGGACUUGCAGUGGGUACGGGCAGACUAGAGUGCUGUAGGGGAGACUGGAAUUCCUGGUGUAGCGGUGAAAUGCGCAGAUAUCAGGAGGAACACCGGUGGCGAAGGCGGGUCUCUGGGUAGUAACUGACGCUGAGGAGCGAAAGCAUGGGUAGCGAACAGGAUUAGAUACCCCGGUAGUCCCU